RNAcentral lists this ribosomal RNA (253 nucleotides) under uncultured bacterium. RNAcentral's name for it is "partial 16S ribosomal RNA". It matches the Rfam family "Bacterial small subunit ribosomal RNA", at positions 524 to 776 of the family's 1533-position model. The record is from RNAcentral.
UACGUAGGUGGCAAGCGUUGUCCGGAUUUACUGGGUGUAAAGGGCGUGUAGGCGGAGCUGCAAGUCAGAUGUGAAAUCCCGGGGCUCAACCCCGGAACUGCAUUUGAAACUGUAGCCCUUGAGUAUCGGAGAGGCAGGCGGAAUUCCUAGUGUAGCGGUGAAAUGCGUAGAUAUUAGGAGGAACACCAGUGGCGAAGGCGGCCUGCUGGACGACAACUGACGCUGAGGCUCGAAAGCGUGGGGAGCGAACAGG